GAUGAACGCUGGCGGCGUGCCUAAUACAUGCAAGUCGAGCGAACGGACGAGAAGCUUGCUUCUCUGAUGUUAGCGGCGGACGGGUGAGUAACACGUGGAUAACCUACCUAUAAGACUGGGAUAACUUCGGGAAACCGGAGCUAAUACCGGAUAAUAUUUUGAACCGCAUGGUUCAAAAGUGAAAGACGGUCUUGCUGUCACUUAUAGAUGGAUCCGCGCUGCAUUAGCUAGUUGGUAAGGUAACGGCUUACCAAGGCAACGAUGCAUAGCCGACCUGAGAGGGUGAUCGGCCACACUGGAACUGAGACACGGUCCAGACUCCUACGGGAGGCAGCAGUAGGGGAUCUUCCGCAAUGGGCGAAAGCCUGACGGAGCAACGCCGCGUGAGUGAUGAAGGUCUUCGGAUCGUAAAACUCUGUUAUUAGGGAAGAACAUAUGUGUAAGUAACUGUGCACAUCUUGACGGUACCUAAUCAGAAAGCCACGGCUAACUACGUGCCAGCAGCCGCGGUAAUACGUAGGUGGCAAGCGUUAUCCGGAAUUAUUGGGCGUAAAGCGCGCGUAGGCGGUUUUUUAAGUCUGAUGUGAAAGCCCACGGCUCAACCGUGGAGGGUCAUUGGAAACUGGAAAACUUGAGUGCAGAAGAGGAAAGUGGAAUUCCAUGUGUAGCGGUGAAAUGCGCAGAGAUAUGGAGGAACACCAGUGGCGAAGGCGACUUUCUGGUCUGUAACUGACGCUGAUGUGCGAAAGCGUGGGGAUCAAACAGGAUUAGAUACCCUGGUAGUCCACGCCGUAAACGAUGAGUGCUAAGUGUUAGGGGGUUUCCGCCCCUUAGUGCUGCAGCUAACGCAUUAAGCACUCCGCCUGGGGAGUACGACCGCAAGGUUGAAACUCAAAGGAAUUGACGGGGACCCGCACAAGCGGUGGAGCAUGUGGUUUAAUUCGAAGCAACGCGAAGAACCUUACCAAAUCUUGACAUCCUUUGACAACUCUAGAGAUAGAGCCUUCCCCUUCGGGGGACAAAGUGACAGGUGGUGCAUGGUUGUCGUCAGCUCGUGUCGUGAGAUGUUGGGUUAAGUCCCGCAACGAGCGCAACCCUUAAGCUUAGUUGCCAUCAUUAAGUUGGGCACUCUAAGUUGACUGCCGGUGACAAACCGGAGGAAGGUGGGGAUGACGUCAAAUCAUCAUGCCCCUUAUGAUUUGGGCUACACACGUGCUACAAUGGACAAUACAAAGGGCAGCGAAACCGCGAGGUCAAGCAAAUCCCAUAAAGUUGUUCUCAGUUCGGAUUGUAGUCUGCAACUCGACUACAUGAAGCUGGAAUCGCUAGUAAUCGUAGAUCAGCAUGCUACGGUGAAUACGUUCCCGGGUCU
Molecule: ribosomal RNA, 1372 nt
Filed under: uncultured bacterium
Lineage: Bacteria
Description: bacterial SSU rRNA
Rfam family: Bacterial small subunit ribosomal RNA
Source: RNAcentral